Molecule: unclassified non-coding RNA, 209 nt
Filed under: plant metagenome
Description: partial contains small subunit ribosomal RNA, internal transcribed spacer 1, and 5.8S ribosomal RNA
Source: RNAcentral
GCUCCGUUGGUGAACCAGCGGAGGGAUCAUUAUAGGAACUCGCAAGACUCCUAACCCACUGUGAACCUACCCGACGUUGCCUCGGCGGGCGCCCGGCCUCGCGCCGGGCACCAAGCCCGCCGGCGGCCCCCUACUCUGUCUCUGCAGCGUUGUGUCUCCGAGUAUACCAAAACAAGUCAAAACUUUCAACAACGGAUCUCUUGGCUCUA